UUCGCGCAAAAACAGUUGGAAAAAUCUACACUAAUAAACUGUUAAACUUUUUUUAUAUCAUUUUAUACUUCACAAUUUCUUACUUUGAAGAAAAAUCACUAAUUUAUGACUUUUUCAUCUAUUUGAUCAUGUGACAUAUGAUCACGUGACUAUUAUGGUGUUCAUCGAUAAUUGUCAGUAGACCUGCUAGUGACGCCUAGUGGACAUCGAUGAUAAACGGAUAUAUGGUAAUAAUCGAUCCGAAAGAGAAUGAUGUUGGAUGAUGUAAUAUAAAUUUGUGAUGACCAUAAGUAUAAAGAUACUAUAUGUAAUGAUAUUUAUUAUUUAAUCGUCGAAGCAUGGAGAUUUAAAAUUGAGAACGAAAAGUUUUAAUUAAAACAGAAAAGGAACAUAUUUUUUCACACUAUUGCCCUGAGAGAAAAUGGACGCACAUGCAGGACGUAUUAAAUAAACUGAGCGAUCGCUUGUAUUAUAGAUAUACCAGCAUAGGAACGAGUUUCUAGAAUAAACUUAAUUAAAAAGUGCAACGAAAAGGAAAAAAGAAAGAUUGUUAUAAAAAGUUUUACAUUCACCUGUAUGUUUGAAAACGAAAAAAAAAUACAUAUAUGUAUAUAGGUCCAAUUUCAAAUGAAAUCAUCAUUCACACGUGUUUAAUCCAAAUAAAAAGAAAAUACAUCGAUCAAUUGAUAAUAUUUAAAAUGGAAAUAAAAAAUUAUUGAACGAAAAUUUUUAUUCCAUGUUACGUUUUUCAGGGAUACGAGUCAGAUGACGUAAUAUAUAAUAUAUUAACAUUAUUUUUCAUCUUUCUUGACGAUAUUGCAAAAUAAAAAUCUUUUACGCAAAAACGCAAAUAGAAUAUCGAUAGAAAAAAAAAAGAAAAAAGGCAAAAA
Molecule: long non-coding RNA, 890 nt
Filed under: Apis dorsata (giant honeybee)
Lineage: Eukaryota; Metazoa; Arthropoda; Insecta; Hymenoptera; Apidae
Description: uncharacterized LOC116185712, transcript variant X1
Source: RNAcentral